This 334-nucleotide ribosomal RNA is filed under the name uncultured eukaryote. Its description in RNAcentral is "partial 18S ribosomal RNA". It matches the Rfam family "Eukaryotic small subunit ribosomal RNA", at positions 1470 to 1796 of the family's 1831-position model. The record is from RNAcentral.
CCCUUAGAUGUCCGGGGCCGCACGCGCGCUACACUGAAGGAAUCAGCGUGGCUUUCUCCCUGACCCGAAAGGGUUGGGAAACCCGUUGAAUCUCCUUCGUGAUAGGGAUUGGGGCUUGAAAUUGUUCCCCAUGAACGAGGAAUUCCCAGUAAGCGCGAGUCAUAAGCUCGCGUUGAUUACGUCCCUGCCCUUUGUACACACCGCCCGUCGCUACUACCGAUUGAACGGUGUAGUGAGGGCCUCGGAUUGGUCUCGGCCCGCUCUUUACCGGGCGGCGCCGUUGGUCGAGAAGACGCUCGAACUUGAUCGUUUAGAGGAAGUAAAAGUCGUAACA